This 497-nucleotide ribosomal RNA is filed under the name uncultured bacterium. Its description in RNAcentral is "partial 16S ribosomal RNA". It matches the Rfam family "Bacterial small subunit ribosomal RNA", at positions 28 to 507 of the family's 1533-position model. The record is from RNAcentral.
GACGAACGCUGGCGGCGUGCCUAAUACAUGCAAGUUGAGCGCUGAAGGUUGGUCCUUGUACCAACUGGAUGAGCAGCGAACGGGUGAGUAACGCGUGGGGAAUCUGCCUUUGAGCGGGGGACAACAUUUGGAAACGAAUGCUAAUACCGCAUAAAAACUUUAAACACAAGUUUUAAGUUUGAAAGAUGCAAUUGCAUCACUCAAAGAUGAUCCCGCGUUGUAUUAGCUAGUUGGUGAGGUAAAGGCUCACCAAGGGGAUGAUACAUAGCCGAACUGAGAGGGUGGUCGGCCACAUUGGGACGGGGACACGGCCCAAACUACUAAGGGAGGGAGCAGUAGGGAAACGUCGGCAAUGGAGGGAAGUCUGGCCGAGCAACGCCGAGUGAGUGAAGGAGGGUCUCGGAUCGUAAAACUCUGUUGGUAGAGGAGAACGUUGGUGGGAGUGGAAAGCGCAUCAAGUGACGGUAACUACACAGAAAGCGACGGCUAACUACGUG